AUUGAACGCUGGCGGCAGGCCUAACACAUGCAAGUCGAACGGUAACAGGAAGACGCUUGCUUCUUUGCUGACGAGUGGCGGACGGGUGAGUAAUGUCUGGGAAACUGCCUGAUGGAGGGGGAUAACUACUGGAAACGGUAGCUAAUACCGCAUAACGUCGCAAGACCAAAGAGGGGGACCUUCGGGCCUCUUGCCAUCGGAUGUGCCCAGAUGGGAUUAGCUAGUAGGUGGGGUAACGGCUCACCUAGGCGACGGUCCCUAGCUGGUCUGAGAGGAUGACCAGCCACACUGGAACUGAGACACGGUCCAGACUCCUACGGGAGGCAGCAGUGGGGAAUAUUGCACAAUGGGCGCAAGCCUGAUGCAGCCAUGCCGCGUGUAUGAAGAAGGCCUUCGGGUUGUAAAGUACUUUCAGCGGGGAGGAAGGGAGUAAAGUUAAUACCUUGACUCAUUGACGUUACCCGCAGAAGAAGCACCGGCUAACUCCGUG
RNAcentral lists this ribosomal RNA (490 nucleotides) under uncultured bacterium. RNAcentral describes it as "partial 16S ribosomal RNA". It matches the Rfam family "Bacterial small subunit ribosomal RNA", at positions 30 to 507 of the family's 1533-position model. The record is from RNAcentral.